CACCGCCCGUCACAGCACGAAAGUUGUUUGCACCCAAAGUUCCUUUAGCUAACUCGUAAGAGAGGCGUGGACCUAAGGUGCGAGGGAUGAUUGUGCUG
This 98-nucleotide ribosomal RNA is filed under the name uncultured bacterium. RNAcentral describes it as "partial 16S ribosomal RNA". The record is from RNAcentral.